This 502-nucleotide ribosomal RNA is filed under the name uncultured bacterium. RNAcentral's name for it is "partial 16S ribosomal RNA". It matches the Rfam family "Bacterial small subunit ribosomal RNA", at positions 30 to 523 of the family's 1533-position model. The record is from RNAcentral.
AUUGAACGCUGGCGGCGUGCUUAACACAUGCAAGUCGAGCGGUAACAGGUGUAGCAAUACAUGCUGACGAGCGGCGAACGGGUGAGUAAUGCUUCGGAAUCUUCCUCGUAGUGGGGAAUAACCUGGGGAAACUCAGGCUAAUACCGCAUACGAACUACGGUUGAAAGCAGGGGAUCGCAAGACCUUGCGCUAUGAGAUGAGCCGAAGUCGGAUUAGCUAGUUGGUGAGGUAAAGGCUCACCAAGGCGACGAUCCGUAGCUGGUCUGAGAGGACGACAAGCCACACUGGGAAUGAGACACGGCCCAGACUCCUACGGGAGGCAACAGUGGGGAAUAUUGGACAAUGGGGGCAACCCUGAUCCAGCGACGCCGCGUGUGUGAAGAAGGCCUGCGGGUUGUAAAGCACUUUUAGUGGGGAUGAAAAGCCAAGGGCUAAUACCCUUUGGUCUUGACCUAACCCAAAGAAAAAGCACCGGCUAACUCUGUGCCAGCCGCCGCCGUAA